CACCCAGGACGGUGGAUCACUCGGCUCGUGGGUCGAUGAAGAACGCAGCAAAUUGCGCGUCGAGAUGUCAACUGAAGGACACAUGAACAUCGACGUUUCGAAUGCACAUUGCGGUCCAUGGAUUCCGUUCCCGGGCCACGUCUGGCUGAGGGUCG
Molecule: ribosomal RNA, 155 nt
Filed under: Heteracris littoralis
Lineage: Eukaryota; Metazoa; Arthropoda; Insecta; Orthoptera; Acrididae
Description: 5.8S ribosomal RNA
Rfam family: 5.8S ribosomal RNA
About the family: 5.8S ribosomal RNA (5.8S rRNA) is a component of the large subunit of the eukaryotic ribosome. It is transcribed by RNA polymerase I as part of the 45S precursor that also contains 18S and 28S rRNA.
Source: RNAcentral